RNAcentral lists this ribosomal RNA (1110 nucleotides) under Triticum aestivum (bread wheat). RNAcentral describes it as "partial small subunit ribosomal RNA". The record is from RNAcentral. Lineage: Eukaryota; Viridiplantae; Streptophyta; Magnoliopsida; Poales; Poaceae.
AUGGCGCUCACCGGCCAGAGCACCGACGACCAGGCCGUGCUGGACGCCGAGCACGAGCUCUGGACAACCACAUUCUCCUACAUCAAGUCCAUGGCGCUCAAGUCGGCCCUGGACCUCCGCCUCGCUGACGCCAUCCACCACCAUGGCGGCGCCGCCACCCUCCCCCAGAUACUGUCCAGGGUCGCGGUGCACCCGUCCAAGAUCCCCUGCCUGCGCCGCCUCAUGCGCACGCUCACCGUCUCGGGCGUCUUCAGCGUCGUCCAGCAGCAGGAUGUCGUCGUCCCGGCUGCCCCCGUGAACAACGACACUGGUACCUACACCGGCGCCGAGCCCUCUUACACUCUCACGCCAGUGUCCCGCCUCCUCGUCGGCUCGCAGAAGUCGGGUUCCAUCAUGGCCUUCGUGCUCAGCCCCGUCCUUGUCGCCCCCUUCCUCGGGAUCGGCGCCUGGUUCCAGCACUCACUGCCAGACCCCUGCCUCUUCGAGCAGGCCCACGGCGAGGCGCUGUGGGAGAUGUCCGGGCACGACGCGGCGCUGGACGCGCUGAUCAACAGCGCCAUGGUCUCGGACAGCCGCUUCAUCGUGGACAUCGCCGUCAGGGAGAGCGGCGACGUUUUCCGGGGGAUAAGCUCACUGGUCGACGUCGGGGGUGGCCUCGGCGCGGCGGCCCAAGUCAUCUCGGAGGCGUUCCCGCACGUGGAGUGCAGCGUGCUGGAGCUCGAGCACGUCGUCAGCAAGGCGCCGGCCGGCACCAGCGUCAAGUACGUCGCCGGCGACAUGUUCGAGAGCGUGCCACCGGCAGACGCCGUCUUCCUCAAGUCGGUUCUUCAUGACUGGGACGACGAGAAGUGUGUCAAAAUACUAAAGACUUGCAGAAAGGCCGUUCCUCCAAGAGAGGCGGGAGGGAAGGUGAUAAUCAUCGAUAUAGUGGUCGGAGCGGACAAGAAGCAUGGGGAGGUGCAUGCCUUGCUCGAUCUCUACAUAAUGUUUAUCAAUGGCGUUGAGCGAGAUGAGCAAGAGUGGAGCAAGAUCUUCCUAGAAGCUGGGUUUAGCGACUACAAGAUUAUACCGGUUCUAGGGUUCCGGUCGAUCAUCGAGGUCUAUCCGUGA